Molecule: long non-coding RNA, 223 nt
Filed under: Zostera marina
Lineage: Eukaryota; Viridiplantae; Streptophyta; Magnoliopsida; Alismatales; Zosteraceae
Description: long non-coding RNA (ZMAR_LNC000619)
Source: RNAcentral
AACAAUUUCGGUCAGCAUCCAUUCUAAACAGACGACCCUUGCAUUUGUGCCCCGGAAAGUAGGAGUCAUCACAGUUGAAACACAACCCCUUGGUUGUGCGUUCCUUGCGCUCUUCUGCUGUCAACAUCUUUCGUACAAUCGGAACUCCUUUGGCUCCGGUCGGCGGUACUUUAAUUAGAGGUUCUGAUUUUGAAUAUGAACCUACGAUCUUGCCACUCCCACG